This 450-nucleotide ribosomal RNA is filed under the name uncultured bacterium. RNAcentral describes it as "partial 16S ribosomal RNA". It matches the Rfam family "Bacterial small subunit ribosomal RNA", at positions 354 to 796 of the family's 1533-position model. The record is from RNAcentral.
GUGGGGAAUAUUGGACAAUGGGCGAAAGCCUGAUCCAGCCAUGCCGCGUGUGUGAAGAAGGUCUUCGGAUUGUAAAGCACUUUAAGUUGGGAGGAAGGGCAGUAAGUUAAUACCUUGCUGUUUUGACGUUACCGACAGAAUAAGCACCGGCUAACUUCGUGCCAGCAGCCGCGGUAAUACGAAGGGUGCAAGCGUUAAUCGGAAUUACUGGGCGUAAAGCGCGCGUAGGUGGUUUUGUAAGUUGGAGGUGAAAUCCCCGGGCUCAACCUGGGAACUGCCUCCAAAACUGCAUGACUAGAGUACGGUAGAGGGUAGUGGAAUUUCCUGUGUAGCGGUGAAAUGCGUAGAUAUAGGAAGGAACACCAGUGGCGAAGGCGGCUACCUGGACUGAUACUGACACUGAGGUGCGAAAGCGUGGGGAGCAAACAGGAUUAGAAACCCCAGUAGUCC